CUGCAUUGCAGCUGGUUUCCAAGGUCGAACUUCCUCGAGAACAUUGUGGAGUUUGUCAGCUAGGUAACUCAGGUCGGCUGCGGCAACAUUGGAUCGAGUAAAUCUGUGGGAGUCUAGUGAGAUGAAGGGCUGGAGUCAAUUCAAUGGAUAGCAAACGAGAUGAUAAUAGAUUUUUAUUGAAUAAAAACAACCGUUCACUAACUUUA
Molecule: non-coding RNA, 206 nt
Organism: Zootermopsis nevadensis
Lineage: Eukaryota; Metazoa; Arthropoda; Insecta; Blattodea; Termopsidae
Source: RefSeq, a predicted model, not a curated record